Molecule: ribosomal RNA, 464 nt
Filed under: Vreelandella stevensii
Lineage: Bacteria; Pseudomonadati; Pseudomonadota; Gammaproteobacteria; Oceanospirillales; Halomonadaceae
Description: partial 16S ribosomal RNA
Rfam family: Bacterial small subunit ribosomal RNA
Source: RNAcentral
CCUACGGGUGGCUGCAGUGGGGAAUAUUGGACAAUGGGCGAAAGCCUGAUCCAGCCAUGCCGCGUGUGUGAAGAAGGCCUUCGGGUUGUAAAGCACUUUCAUUGGGGAAGAAAGCCUGAGGGCGAAUACCCUCGAGGAAGGACAUCACCCACAGAAGAAGCACCGGCUAACUCCGUGCCAGCAGCCGCGGUAAUACGGAGGGUGCGAGCGUUAAUCGGAAUUACUGGGCGUAAAGCGCGCGUAGGCGGUCUGAUAAGCCGGUUGUGAAAGCCCCGGGCUCAACCUGGGAACGGCAUCCGGAACUGUCAGGCUAGAGUGCAGGAGAGGAAGGUAGAAUUCCCGGUGUAGAGGUGAAAUGCGUAGAGAUCGGGAGGAAUACCAGUGGCGAAGGAGGCCUUCUGGACUGACACUGACGCUGAGGUGCGAAAGCGUGGGUAGCAAACAGGAUUAGAUACCCCGUAGUC